RNAcentral lists this ribosomal RNA (776 nucleotides) under Bacillus sp. YC6892. RNAcentral describes it as "bacterial SSU rRNA". It matches the Rfam family "Bacterial small subunit ribosomal RNA", at positions 55 to 814 of the family's 1533-position model. The record is from RNAcentral. Lineage: Bacteria; Bacillati; Bacillota; Bacilli; Caryophanales; Bacillaceae.
AUGCAGUCGAGCGGACAGAAGGGAGCUUGCUCCCGGAUGUUAGCGGCGGACGGGUGAGUAACACGUGGGUAACCUGCCUGUAAGACUGGGAUAACUCCGGGAAACCGGAGCUAAUACCGGAUAGUUCCUUGAACCGCAUGGUUCAAGGAUGAAAGACGGUUUCGGCUGUCACUUACAGAUGGACCCGCGGCGCAUUAGCUAGUUGGUGAGGUAACGGCUCACCAAGGCGACGAUGCGUAGCCGACCUGAGAGGGUGAUCGGCCACACUGGGACUGAGACACGGCCCAGACUCCUACGGGAGGCAGCAGUAGGGAAUCUUCCGCAAUGGACGAAAGUCUGACGGAGCAACGCCGCGUGAGUGAUGAAGGUUUUCGGAUCGUAAAGCUCUGUUGUUAGGGAAGAACAAGUGCAAGAGUAACUGCUUGCACCUUGACGGUACCUAACCAGAAAGCCACGGCUAACUACGUGCCAGCAGCCGCGGUAAUACGUAGGUGGCAAGCGUUGUCCGGAAUUAUUGGGCGUAAAGGGCUCGCAGGCGGUUUCUUAAGUCUGAUGUGAAAGCCCCCGGCUCAACCGGGGAGGGUCAUUGGAAACUGGGAAACUUGAGUGCAGAAGAGGAGAGUGGAAUUCCACGUGUAGCGGUGAAAUGCGUAGAGAUGUGGAGGAACACCAGUGGCGAAGGCGACUCUCUGGUCUGUAACUGACGCUGAGGAGCGAAAGCGUGGGGAGCGAAACAGGAUUAGAUACCCUGGUAGUCCACGCCGUAAACGAUGAGU